This is a small nuclear RNA of Peromyscus maniculatus bairdii (prairie deer mouse), 107 nucleotides long. Lineage: Eukaryota; Metazoa; Chordata; Mammalia; Rodentia; Cricetidae. The record is from Ensembl.
CUGCUCAUUUUGACAGCACAUAGACUAUAAUGGGAAUGAUACAGAGAAAAUUAGAAUGGCCUCUGCAUUAGUAUUUUAUGAUUAUGAGUCAACCCACCAAGAAAGAU